RNAcentral lists this ribosomal RNA (253 nucleotides) under uncultured bacterium. Its description in RNAcentral is "partial 16S ribosomal RNA". It matches the Rfam family "Bacterial small subunit ribosomal RNA", at positions 524 to 776 of the family's 1533-position model. The record is from RNAcentral.
UACGUAGGGGGCUAGCGUUGUCCGGAAUCAUUGGGCGUAAAGCGCGCGUAGGCGGCCCGGUAAGUCCGCUCUGAAAGUCCAGGGCUCAACCCUGGAAAGCGGGUGGAUACUGCCGGGCUAGAAUCCGGAAGAGGCGAGUGGAAUUCCUGGUGUAGCGGUGGAAUGCGCAGAUAUCAGGAGGAACACCGAUGGCGAAGGCAGGUCUCUGGGCAUUAACUGACACUGAGGAGCGAAAGCAUGGGGAGCGAACAGG